AAGCAACAGCUUUUAAAUUUUGUUUAAAAGUUUGAAAACGAGCAAAUGAAAAGAACCUUAUUUUGUAUUUUAUAAUUGUAACAAAUUUAACAUGGUCUAAUUAUUGUAGGAAUCAGAAAUGAAGUGUCCGAUGAAGAUGACAGAUGAAACACAAAUUGAGGUAUUUUUAGUAGAUUUAAAUAUUGUGUCGGUGUUUAGAAAUUUCUGUGUACAUGUAAUAUUAUAUAUGUAUAAAAACAGAGAUGUACAUGUGGGAAAUACAUCAAUGAAACAGCAACCAAACAAAGCAAUAAAAAAAAUCCAGGGGACAUCAUUCAGUUUUAUUCAAUAUUUAUGAUUAUAUGUUUUUUUCCAUUUUUGUUAAAAAAAAGAAAAAAUUAUGUCAGAGUUUGAGAAGCUUUUUAAAUUUGAUUAUGUAUUUAAAUUAUUUACAGUUUAUAUUCCAGUAAAUAAAACAGACUUUGUUUGUGCUAUGUAAUAUUUUGCCAUCUUGCGAAAGUUAAUUUAGCCAAAAUUGCCUACUUUAUCUGUUAGAAAAAUAAUGAAUUUAAAAUCUUAAAUCAUUUACCUCCAAUAAAAUUGUAUUAAUUCUAAAAUGUGAAGGGCACAUUAAAAAUAUCUUUACAAUAAGAUCUUGGACAUUACUGCUGUAUUCUGGGGGAAAAAAUGUUGCCAAAUUAUUUCAUUGACAUAAAUAAAUCAUGUCAAAUGAUUUCAUCAUUUGUUCAUUGACACAUAUAAAUAAAAUAUUGUCUCACGAUUUCAUCAAAAAUUUUAUAUCUAAAGUUAAUUGACAUUAGUAGAAUACUUUAUUGAUUUUUUUUUAGAAGUCUACAUCGAGUAAGAGUGAAGUAACAGCAGGAGAUGGGGGAACAAAGAAGACGAACUGAUAUUAGCUUUACACAUUAUAAUGUCAAUCUCCCAUGCAGAGUUAUCGGUCCUUUCUCUCUCUCAAUUGAUCUCAUUGAUGAAGGUCGGCCCGUACAGUGACCUAUAGUUGUUAAUUUCUGUGUCAUUUUGGUCUCUUGUGGAGAGUUGUCUCAUUGGAAAUCAUACCUCAUCUUCUUUUUUAAUUUGACUACAGUUAUUCUGUGUCAAAACCCUAUUAUUUGUCAAAUAUUUGUACCUGUAUCAAGCACACUUAUUGUGUCCAUUUUUGCCCCAACUGUUCAGGGGUAGACCUCUGCUGUCAUAUCCAGCUGCGUUGGCGAAGUAAUUUGUUUAUAUUCUUACAAACGUUCUACCUGGACUCUUCGAUAGUUACAAAACAAAUAAUGGUUUUGGUUCCGAAUUCAAUCAGGUCUGUAUUGAUGUGGUUCCAUUAACAAUACCGAGUGCGUAUACAUUUCUUCAUCGUUAAAUAAAGUCAGCGCAUUUAAUAAAUCAUUUUAUAAAAUACAUGUACAAAUAAGAACAGAUAUUAGGCACCGUCAGUUAUAACACUGUUUAUAUAUGGAAGUGUUUAACGACCUUGACUGGCUAUACAGCCGUCGCACGGUCGGCUCGGUGCCCGAAGGCGAUUGGUGAGCUUUAUCAUAUUUUGAUGCCGUGGGUCAGGAACAGGUAGUAGAGGACGCCAUAUGUAGGCCGCCAUCUUGGUUUUGGCAAGGAUUUGUAUAAAUCCUUGGUUUUGGUAAGUUAUUUUUCUUUUGUUGACUAUUUUGAUGUUGGUUUACUUCACAACGGCUGCUUUCAGGGUAAGUUUGGUCAGCUUGGCAGCCCGCUAACCUCGAUGAUGGAGUACUGGUAGAUGAAUCGUGGACGUAGUUCUAAAGAUGACAGGAAGCGUUAUCAGGACCAAAGCCGUGAGGCAGUGAAAUGAAGGUCGUAUCACCCAAUACCUAGGAUACAGCCCUCGGACGUUAAUCGGCAUAACACUCCCCAUGAUACAAUGGUUUUGGAGUGCAUGUUAACGCGGGUACGCCAACU
This 1929-nucleotide long non-coding RNA is filed under the name Mytilus galloprovincialis (Mediterranean mussel). The record is from RNAcentral. Lineage: Eukaryota; Metazoa; Mollusca; Bivalvia; Mytilida; Mytilidae.